This 499-nucleotide ribosomal RNA is filed under the name uncultured bacterium. RNAcentral's name for it is "partial 16S ribosomal RNA". It matches the Rfam family "Bacterial small subunit ribosomal RNA", at positions 28 to 507 of the family's 1533-position model. The record is from RNAcentral.
GACGAACGCUGGCGGCGUGCCUAAUACAUGCAAGUCGAGCGGACUUUCAAGAAGCUUGCUUUUUGAAAGUUAGCGGCGGACGGGUGAGUAACACGUGGGCAACCUGCCUGCAAGACGGGGAUAACUUCGGGAAACCGGGGCUAAUACCGGAUAAUAUCUUCCUUCGCAUGAAUGAAGGUUGAAAGGCGGCUCAAGCUGCCGCUUUCAGAUGAGCCCGCGGCGACUUAGCUAGUUGUUGAGGUAACGGCUCACCAAGGCGACGAUGCGUAGCCGCCCGGAGGGGGGGAUUGGGCCCAAUGGGACUGAGAGACGGCCCAGACCCCUAAGGGAGGCAGCAGUAGGGAAUCUUCCGCAAUGGACGAAAGUCUGAAGGAGGAACGCCGGGUGAGCGAAGAAGGGCUUCGGAUCGUAAAGAUUUGGUGUCAGGGAAGAAAAAGUACCGUUCGAACAGGGCGGUACCUUGACGGUACCUGACCAGAAAGCCACGGCUAACUACGUG